GCAGCAGCGCAGCAGUUGGUACUAUUUGUAUUGGUAAUGAUUUUGGCACAGACAGACAGAGCAAAAGAGAAAGAAAAUACAAAGCCAUAGGUGAGAAUAGAAUACAAGAGAGAUAUAUAUAUACUACUAUAUCAGAAGCUCGUGAUGAGAAUUUUUUCUUUACAGUAGUAGCAAACAAACAUCAAAUAUAUCAGAGAAUUAAGAGACUGAUAUUUUUUUGCUUUUCUCGUGAUCUUUCUUUUGUACACGUAAUUAUUACACUUUUUGUUGUUGCUUUAAACCUAGACAGUUUCAACGGGAUUUGCCAAAAACCAUCUCUUUUCUUAGUCUAAACUUAAGCCAGAUAUCUCUCUCUUGUUCAACCUCUAUAUAGAAAGAACAUAUCUCUUUUUUUCCCGUCUUUUUCUAGAGAAAUUUCCUUUAGUUUCCCACUUUUUUUUUUCCAUUUAUUCUGUUGGUGGAAACUGAAGGGAUAGAGGUGAAAAAGAGGAGUCUUGAAAAUACCAUUUUGGAAUUUAAAGAGAUUUUUUUUUUUGAGAAGAAGAAGAAAUUGAAGAAUGGGAAAUUGUGGAAGAAAUGGUGGAGUGAGACAAUAUAUAAGAUCAAAAGUACCGCGUUUGAGAUGGACACAAGUCUAAACUUGAGCCAGAUAUCUCUCUCUUGUUCAACCUCUGUAUAGAAAGAACAUAGCUCUAUUUUUUCCUGUCUUUUUCUACCGAAAUUUCUUUUAGUUUCCCACUUUUUUUCUUCCAUUUAUUCUGUUGGUGGAAACUGAAGGGAUAGAGGUAAAAAAGAGGAGUCUUGAAAAUACCAUUUUGGAAUUUAAAGAGAUUUCUUUUUUGAGAAGAAGA
This 851-nucleotide long non-coding RNA is filed under the name Nicotiana benthamiana. RNAcentral describes it as "long non-coding RNA (NBEN_LNC035167)". Lineage: Eukaryota; Viridiplantae; Streptophyta; Magnoliopsida; Solanales; Solanaceae. The record is from RNAcentral.